RNAcentral lists this ribosomal RNA (1209 nucleotides) under Triticum aestivum (bread wheat). RNAcentral describes it as "partial small subunit ribosomal RNA". Lineage: Eukaryota; Viridiplantae; Streptophyta; Magnoliopsida; Poales; Poaceae. The record is from RNAcentral.
AUGGCGACGGCCAGCCUCCCCGGCUCGCCGGAGGCGGCGGCGGCGGUGCUGGAGAACGACGACCUGGUCUCCGAGAUCCUCCUCCGCCUCCCCCCACAGCCGUCCUCCCUCCCGCGCGCCUCCCGCGUCUGCAGGCGCUGGCGCCGCCUCCUCUCCGACCCCGCCUUCCGCCGCCGCUUCCGCAUUCACCACCGCCGCGGCACCCCUCCGCUCCUCGGUCUCUUCGGCUCGAGCCGGGGCGUCGUCACCUUCCAGCCAGCCCUGGACGCCCCCGACCGCCUCCCCCGCGGCCACUUCUCCCUCAACCUCGACGACGACUACAUGACCCUCGGAUGGCGCCACGGCCUCGCGCUCUUCUACCUCCCGGACUCGCUCCAGGUCGUCGUCUGGGACCCCCUCGCCGGCGCCCAGCACCGCCUCGACAUUCCCGAGGGGUUCGUGCUCGACCCGUCGGAGGACCCAGUCAACGGGGCGGUGCUUCGCGCCGCCGGGGACAUCGACCACUUCCAGGUGGUCCUGGUAACCAGCGACGGGAGACGACCAGCACUUGCCUGCGUUUACUCGUCGGAGACUGGGUUAUGGGGUGAUUUCAUCUCCGCGCAGCUCCAAUCCGCGACCAUGGUCCAUUGGGGCGAGCCCUCUGUGCUGGCUGGGGGUUGCAUUUACUGGUUGAUUUCUGUGACGAGUAUCCUCGAGUUUGAUUUGGAUAGCCAGAGCCUAGCUGUGAUAUUGGUGCCAGCGGACAUGCUUACCGGCAGGAGUCACCAGUCCACGGUUAUGCGAGCAGAGGGUGGUGGGAUGGGUUUCCUCAACGUGGCAGACUUCACUGCCGAAUUUUGGAGGAGGGAGACAGACUGUGAUGGUUCAUGGAUGCUUGGAGGAACUGUUGAAUUGGACAAGUUACUUCCCCCAGGUUCAGAUAACGAAGCCCUGCGUAUGUUAGGUUAUGCGGAGGAAAACAAUGUGGUGUUCUUCUGGACAGUUGUUGGUGUCUUCAUGUUCAACCUUCAGUCAUUGGAGCCCACGAGACUUUCUGAGAUUGGCAUCUCUGGUUAUGGUUAUCAUCCAUUCGAAACCGUCUAUACUCCAGGCAUUGGUGGUGGACAAGAGGGAACUGACAAGAGGCGCUCGUGGUGGAAACGAUGUAGGCAACACAUAAGAGGAUUAUUCAGUUGCGCUCGUGGUGGAAACGAUGGAGAUAACAAAUAA